Molecule: ribosomal RNA, 47 nt
Filed under: Ficus reflexa subsp. reflexa
Lineage: Eukaryota; Viridiplantae; Streptophyta; Magnoliopsida; Rosales; Moraceae
Description: partial 28S ribosomal RNA
Source: RNAcentral
CAACGCGACCCCAGGUCAGGCGGGGCUACCCGCUGAGUUUAAGCAUA